This 1212-nucleotide long non-coding RNA is filed under the name Linum usitatissimum (flax). Its description in RNAcentral is "long non-coding RNA (LUSI_LNC003392)". Lineage: Eukaryota; Viridiplantae; Streptophyta; Magnoliopsida; Malpighiales; Linaceae. The record is from RNAcentral.
UCAAAACAAUGGCUACCAGUUUCAUGGAAAAACAUUCGUCCCAUAUCAUAUACAAGUUUGAACAUCUGAUGGGCUCUUGAUCUCAAUUAAUCGUUCGAAGCCCUCUUAUCUCUCGUUUCUCAAUCUGUUGAGUUCUCUGGUCGGCAAAUGGCACAAGGGUAAGUAAUUUUGUUAUUAUGCUUUGAAUCUAAUUGGUACGCAUCGGGUUUAAAUCUGAAGCUUUUGUAUUUCGAAAGCUUCGCCUUGGAUUUUCGAUUUAGUGCAGUAUUUUUGAAUUGCAUGAUUACUUGAAACUACAUCUAUGGUGAUACUGAAAAAUCUAUCCAUAUUAGUUUGUUUCUUUCCGAUUGGAUUUAUAUAUUUGUCCAUCUUCAAAGUUUUCGGUGCGGUCAAUGACGACGAUGAGCUUAGAUUAGCAGUUUGACCGGCGAUGAUUUUAAUGGAGAUUGGAGAACACGAGGCUACUGAUUUGUAUAUCUGUACGUUCUUUCUCACUAUGAGUUUUCCUUAUGCAAUAUCAAUAUGAUUCUUCAUUUGCAGGAAGGGAACUUAAAACUUAAACACACCCCAUGACAAAGCAAUCUCAUUACAAUGUGUUUUACGGCCAUUCAAUUAUUUAAGAACCCCCCGGAUGGCAGCAUCUUAGUAUCAAUAGUUGACAGUGAGAUUCUUUCGCUUCAACGGUGUCCCUGAUUCAAGAGUAGAGGCAAUCAAUACCAAUUAAGUCACUCAGCUUCGGCCUCCAUAAAAAACACUGCUCCAAUUCUUCCAAUCUACUAAUAUACAAUUACCAACACGGCGCUCAGGUUCAAUAGCUAAUUCCCGUCACAGUUAAACCAAUCGGAUCCGCAAUCAAAGAUUGCCUACUGAAGUUUCUCGCCGGAGCGACCUCGCUCUCCGACCAGAUCUAUCAGGGGGUCGUGUCUGCUCGGACAGCACUGCGAUGAGAAGCUUCUUACCACGGUUGAAUCUGAGUGAUCAACAAACUCCAAUACGUCUUCAAAUUAUCUAGCAAAUAUUUACAUCUGAUAUUGGUUUUACUUUAGAGUUGUAAGGGGGUUUGCGAUUGGAUAAUAAUAACUUGUAUAUAUCAGUAGCUUCUACAUCAAAGCGUAUUUUGGAUAUUUUGUAUGUUUUCAGAGGGUUAUAAUGUUGGAAAGUCGUAUUAAUACUAACCAAGAUGAGGUGGAAAGUAGAACCCACUUUUAUAAA